Molecule: non-coding RNA, 93 nt
Filed under: Propithecus coquereli (Coquerel's sifaka)
Lineage: Eukaryota; Metazoa; Chordata; Mammalia; Primates; Indriidae
Source: Rfam by way of RNAcentral
GGUUGGUCUGAUGGUAGUGGGUUAUCAGAACCUAUUAAUAUUAGUGUCACUAAAGUUGGUAUACAACCCCCACUGCUAAAUUUAGCUAAAAAA